This 253-nucleotide ribosomal RNA is filed under the name uncultured bacterium. RNAcentral describes it as "partial 16S ribosomal RNA". It matches the Rfam family "Bacterial small subunit ribosomal RNA", at positions 524 to 776 of the family's 1533-position model. The record is from RNAcentral.
UACGAAGGGGGCUAGCGUUACUCGGAUUGACUGGGCGUAAAGGGCGCGUAGGCGGUUUGUACAGUCAGACGUGAAAUUCCUGGGCUCAACCUGGGGGCUGCGUUUGAUACGGGCAGACUUGAGUUCGGAAGAGGGUCGUGGAAUUCCCAGUGUAGAGGUGAAAUUCGUAGAUAUUGGGAAGAACACCGGUGGCGAAGGCGGCGACCUGGUCCGAUACUGACGCUGAGGCGCGAAAGCGUGGGGAGCAAACAGG